Molecule: ribosomal RNA, 253 nt
Filed under: uncultured bacterium
Lineage: Bacteria
Description: partial 16S ribosomal RNA
Rfam family: Bacterial small subunit ribosomal RNA
Source: RNAcentral
UACAGAGGGUGCGAGCGUUGUCCGGAAUCACUGGGCGUAAAGGGCGCGUAGGCGGCUCGGUAAGCGUGCGGUGAAAGCCCGGGGCUCAACCCCGGGUCGGCCGUGCGAACUGCAGAGCUGGAGCACUGUAGAGGCAGGUGGAAUUCCGGGUGUAGCGGUGGAAUGCGUAGAGAUCCGGAAGAACACCGGUGGCGAAGGCGGCCUGCUGGGCAGUUGCUGACGCUGAGGCGCGAAAGCUAGGGGAGCAAACGGG